AGAGGUAUAGUUUAAAGUAAAAAACAUUAAGUCUAUGACUUAAAAAUAUGUGUGAUUUUUCCUCUU
RNAcentral lists this transfer RNA (66 nucleotides) under Clavelina lepadiformis (light-bulb sea squirt). RNAcentral describes it as "tRNA-Met". The record is from RNAcentral. Lineage: Eukaryota; Metazoa; Chordata; Ascidiacea; Aplousobranchia; Clavelinidae.